This 410-nucleotide ribosomal RNA is filed under the name uncultured bacterium. RNAcentral's name for it is "bacterial SSU rRNA". It matches the Rfam family "Bacterial small subunit ribosomal RNA", at positions 94 to 500 of the family's 1533-position model. The record is from RNAcentral.
AGUGGCGAACGGGUGAGUAAUGCAUCGGAACGUAUCCAAUAAUGGGGGAUAACGCAGCGAAAGCUGUGCUAAUACCGCAUACGCCCUGAGGGGGAAAGUGGGGGAUCGCAAGACCUCACGUUAAUGGAGCGGCCGAUGUCUGAUUAGCUAGUUGGUGAGGUAAAGGCUCACCAAGGCGACGAUCAGUAGCUGGUCUGAGAGGACGACCAGCCACACUGGAACUGAGACACGGUCCAGACUCCUACGGGAGGCAGCAGUGGGGAAUUUUGGACAAUGGGGGCAACCCUGAUCCAGCCAUGCCGCGUGAGUGAAGAAGGCCUUCGGGUUGUAAAGCUCUUUCGCGAGGGAAGAAAAGGCCACGGAUAACACCCGUGGUUCAUGACGGUACCUUGAUAAGAAGCACCGGCUAA